Molecule: long non-coding RNA, 522 nt
Filed under: Fragaria vesca (wild strawberry)
Lineage: Eukaryota; Viridiplantae; Streptophyta; Magnoliopsida; Rosales; Rosaceae
Description: long non-coding RNA (FVES_LNC002153)
Source: RNAcentral
CAUAGGCCUUGACCAUUCUUAGUUGUUGCUUCUUCCAUUUACCCUAGCCAGAAACAAAAACAAUGUAAUGCCACCCUGUGAUUAUAAACCGACCAGAUCAAUCAUCCUACACUGUCAGAUUGGAAGACGAAAUUGAGGGUGGUAUCAUCUAAUAUAAUUGAAGUUAUGAAACUAAUAAUAAACAUGGGAGAUCUCAACAAAUGGACCCUUCCCACCACCAGAUCUUUGCCCCUGUAGAACAAGACAAGAGGCCAUAGUUUAAAGCUCUUAAGAAAACAUACGCUGCUCUUGAUCUCAUAGAAAUGCUCCUUAUUAUACAGAUGAAGUAUUUUUAAAACCUCUAAAGUAUGAGACCUUUCAAGCCUGUGUACGUCAAGCAGUUAAGCAAACUGUGUCAUCGUAUUAUUCGUAUCUUGUAUAGAAAUCUGAAAUUUUGUAUGUAUUAGUGUUGAGAUGGUAGAAUAUUGCAGUUUAACAAGUCAGAAGAAGAACCAACAACCUGCAGAUAAAGUUGGAGGAUCU